Molecule: transfer RNA, 85 nt
Filed under: Candidatus Aminicenantota bacterium
Lineage: Bacteria; Candidatus Aminicenantota
Also listed under: 1 other name
Description: Candidatus Aminicenantes bacterium tRNA-Leu
Rfam family: tRNA
About the family: Transfer RNA (tRNA) molecules are approximately 80 nucleotides in length. Their secondary structure includes four short double-helical elements and three loops (D, anti-codon, and T loops).
Source: RNAcentral
GCCGGAGUGGCGGAAUUGGCAGACGCAUCAGACUCAAAAUCUGACGAGGAAUUUCUUCGUAAGGGUUCGAUUCCCUUCUCCGGCA